GGUGAACGCUGGCGGUAGGCCUAACACAUGCAAGUCGAACAGCAGCACAGUAAGAGCUUGCUCUUACGGGUGGCGAGUGGCGGACGGGUGAGGAAUACAUCGGAAUCUACUUUUUCGUGGGGGAUAACGUAGGGAAACUUACGCUAAUACCGCAUACGACCUACGGGUGAAAGCAGGGGAUCUUCGGACCUUGCGCGAUUGAGUGAGCCGAUGUCGGAUUAGCUAGUUGGCGGGGUAAAGGCCCACCAAGGCGACGAUCCGUAGCUGGUCUGAGAGGAUGAUCAGCCACACUGGAACUGAGACACGGUCCAGACUCCUACGGGAGGCAGCAGUGGGGAAUAUUGGACAAUGGGCGCAAGCCUGAUCCAGCCAUACCGCGUGGGUGAAGAAGGCCUUCGGGUUGUAAAGCCCUUUUGUUGGGAAAGAAAAGCAGCAGGUUAAUACCCCGCUGUUCUGACGGUACCCAAAGAAUAAGCACCGGCUAACUUCGUG
This 492-nucleotide ribosomal RNA is filed under the name uncultured bacterium. RNAcentral describes it as "partial 16S ribosomal RNA". It matches the Rfam family "Bacterial small subunit ribosomal RNA", at positions 28 to 507 of the family's 1533-position model. The record is from RNAcentral.